GACGAACGCUGGCGGCGUGCCUAAUACAUGCAAGUCGAGCGAAGUUUUUCUGGUGCUUGCACUAGAAAAACUUAGCGGCGAACGGGUGAGUAACACGUAAAGAACCUGCCUCAUAGACUGGGACAACUAUUGGAAACGAUAGCUAAUACCGGAUAACAGUAUUUCUCGCAUGAGAGAUAUUUAAAAGUUGGUUAUGCUAACACUAUGAGAUGGCUUUGCGGUGCAUUAGCUAGUUGGUGGGGUAAAGGCCCACCAAGGCGACGAUGCAUAGCCGACCUGAGAGGGUAAUCGGCCACACUGGGACUGAGACACGGCCCAGACUCCUACGGGAGGCAGCAGUAGGGAAUCUUCCGCAAUGGGCGAAAGCCUGACGGAGCAACGCCGCGUGAGUGAAGAAGGAUUUCGGUUCGUAAAGCUCUGUUGUUAGGGAAGAAUGGAUAUGUAGUAACUAUACAUGUAAGAGACGGUACCUAACCAGAAAGCCACGGCUAACUACGUG
RNAcentral lists this ribosomal RNA (499 nucleotides) under uncultured bacterium. RNAcentral describes it as "partial 16S ribosomal RNA". It matches the Rfam family "Bacterial small subunit ribosomal RNA", at positions 28 to 507 of the family's 1533-position model. The record is from RNAcentral.